GACGAACGCUGGCGGCGUGCUUAACACAUGCAAGUCGAACGGAAAGGCCCUGCUUGCAUUGUACUCUAGUGGCGAACGGGUGAGUAACACGUGGGUGAUCUGCCCUGCACUUCGUGCUACUCUUUGGCAACUUGGUCUAAUACCUGAUAGGAGCCAUCCUUAGUGUGGUGGUUGGAAAGUUUUUUCGGUGUAGGAUGAGCUCGCGGGCUAUCAGCUUGUUGGUGGGGUAAUGGCCUACCAAGGCGGCGACGGGUAGCCGGCCUGAGAGGGUGUACGGGAACAGUGGGACAGAGAUACGGCCCAGAGUCGUACGGGAGGCAGCAGUGGGGAAGAUUGCACAAUGGGCGCAAGCCUGAUGAAGGGAGGCCGCGUGGGGGAUGAAGGCCUUCGGGGUGUAAGAUCCUUUCGCUAGGGACGAAGCUUUUUUGUGACGGUACCUAGAUAAGAAGCACCGGCUAACUACGUG
Molecule: ribosomal RNA, 466 nt
Filed under: uncultured bacterium
Lineage: Bacteria
Description: partial 16S ribosomal RNA
Rfam family: Bacterial small subunit ribosomal RNA
Source: RNAcentral